GUGUGUGUAUAUACUACAGGUGCUGCUUGUGAUUAUAAUGAUGAUAUGGGGCAGUGUGUGUCUGUGUGUGUGUCUCUGAAUGUGUGUGUAUAUACUACAGGUGCUGCUUGUGAUUAUAAUGAUGAUAUGGGGCAGUGUCUGUGUGUGUCUCUGAAUGUGUGUGUAUAUACUACAGGUGCUGCUUGUGAUUAUAAUGAUGAUAUGGGGCACAGUGUGUCUGUGUGUGUGUCUCUGAAUGUGUGUGUAUAUACUAUAGGUGCUGCUUGUGAUUAUAAUGAUGAUAUGGGGCACAGGGUGUUUGUGUGUGUCUCUGAAUGUGUGUGUAUUUACUACAGGUGCUGCUUGUGAUUAUAAUGAUGAUAUGGGGCAGUGUCUGUGUGUGUGUGUCUCUGAAUGUGUGUGUAUAUACUACAGGUGCCGCUUGUGAUUAUAGUGAUGAUAUGGGGCAGUGUCUGUGUGUGUGUCUCUGAA
Long non-coding RNA from Oncorhynchus keta (chum salmon), 471 nucleotides. RefSeq lists it as uncharacterized. The record is from RefSeq and is a predicted model, not a curated record. Lineage: Eukaryota; Metazoa; Chordata; Actinopteri; Salmoniformes; Salmonidae. The transcript has 3 exons.